RNAcentral lists this ribosomal RNA (484 nucleotides) under uncultured bacterium. RNAcentral describes it as "partial 16S ribosomal RNA". It matches the Rfam family "Bacterial small subunit ribosomal RNA", at positions 29 to 507 of the family's 1533-position model. The record is from RNAcentral.
AGUGAACGCUGGCGGCAGGCCUAACACAUGCAAGUCGAGCGGCAGCGCGGGGGCAACCCUGGAGGCGAGCGGCGGACGGGUGAGGAAUUCGUCGGAAUCUGCCUUUUUGUGGGGGAUAACGUAGGGAAACUUACGCUAAUACCGCAUACGUCCUCCGGGAGAAAGUGGGGGACCGCAAGGCCUCACGCAGAAAGAUGAGCCGACGACCGAUUAGCUAGUUGGUGGGGUAAAGGCCCACCAAGGCGACGAUCGGUAGCUGGUCUGAGAGGAUGAUCAGCCACACUGGGACUGAGACACGGCCCAGACUCCUACGGGAGGCAGCAGUGGGGAAUAUUGGACAAUGGGCGCAAGCCUGAUCCAGCCAUGCCGCGUGUGUGAAGAAGGCCUUCGGGUUGUAAAGCACUUUUGUCCGGAAAGAAAUCCCUGGAGCUAAUACCUUCGGGGGAUGACGGUACCGGAAGAAUAAGCACCGGCUAACUUCGUG